GUUGGCUUCGAACUCAGAUCUUUUGCUCCCUGCCUCCCAAGUGCCUGUGCCACCAUGAUACAGCUAAGAUUUUAAAAUCGUGUGUGAGGGUGUGUACAUGUGGGUGCAGGUGCCCACAGAGGCCAGAAGAGGGCAGCAGAUCUCCCUGAAGCUGGAGUGAUGGGAGUUUAUGAAUACUGGAAACUAACCUUGGCUCUUGUACAAGAGCAGUACUCCCUCUAUCGAGCCGUAUCUCUAGCCCAUGCAUACAGUUCUUCGGCGUGUAGCCUGGCAGAGGUGUGUGUCUGUAUGUCCCCUACCUGGAUUGAAAGAUACAUUCCAGCAUUUGGGGCUUGGCACUGCUGCCCAGUUAAUAUGAUGCCCCACGAAGCCCCAAGUUUAACCCAGGGCACCUCACAAGUACAGCAGUCCACACUGAAAUCCCAGCACUUGGGAGUUAGAAACCGGAGGACUGGAAGAUCAAGGUCAUUCUUGGCCGCGGAGUGAGUUUGAGGCCCUCCCUAGGAUACAUGAAAACUUGUCUUACAAAGAAGAAAAAUCUGAUAUCCCAGAGGCAGCACUGUGUCCCUAGCAAUCAGCACCCUCCAAAGGUAUCCAGGCCUAGAGGUUUUAUCCGAGUCCCUAGGCCCAAGUGCGCCAUGAGGACGGACACCCGCUGAAGCUUUGCUGGUCAUUGCAGCCUGGUCAGGACAGCCGCUGGUUGCCGGUCCUGGUCGCCUGCAGGGUUGUGUUUAUCCCCCUGCUGAUGCUCUGCAAUGUGAAGCAGCACCACUACCUGCCCUCCCUCUUUAAGCAUGAUGUCUGGUUCAUCACCUUCAUGGCCGCCUUUGCCUUCUCCAAUGGCUACCUCGCCAGCCUCUGCAUGUGCUUCGGGCCCAAGUGAGUGGGGCCACGUGGGAGGGAAUGUGGGGCCAUCAGGCAGGGCUUAGGGGGAGGUGGCAAUAGGAGAGUCCCUCCCAUCCCAACUGCUAGCCCCAGGAGCUGGGGCUUGUGAGGGGGAGUGGAGGUGAGGGCUUGCAAAUGUGCUCUUGCUGAACUGUGUGGGAGGGGAUCAAGGCUGGAGGAUGGUUCCGAGACACAUUUUCCCAGGAAGUGGGCUGGGAGUGGGAGUUUAGGAAGGCACUCAGGGGCAGGGCUGGGCUUGGCUUACCUAAGAUCACCUUGCCUUUUUUUUUUAGGAAAGUCAAACCGGCUGAGGCAGAGACUGCCGGAAACAUCAUGUCCUUCUUUCUGUGUCUGGGCCUGGCUCUGGGAGCUGUGUUGUCCUUCUUGUUAAGGGCACUUGUGUGAGCGACCCUGUGUGGACAGAGGAACUACACUGCCUGCUUCCUGCUCACUUCCUUCGCUGUUAGGGACGAGCAGGGGUCCAGAGGGCUGCUCUUCUGCUUUCCUCCGGUGCUGGGCCCAGAUGUCCAGGAACAAAGGAGGGAGCCUCUGAGGAUGGACUUGGGAUUGGGGGUCAGAGUGGUAGGGGGACAAUGGUCUCUGACGGACAGCUCUGACUGAUCCCUGCCUAAGCCAAGCACAAGAGACUCCACAAGGAUGGGGUGGAGACAGAUGGCUGACUGUGUAUCAUGAUCUGAUGUCCCUUGCCCUUCUUUCUUCUGUGCCUGUUCCAGGUCCCCGAUCCUUGUCAUUUUACUGCCUUUUUUAUACUGACAGAAACCAGGUGCCUUCAGAGGCCAUCUGAUUAAAUAAACAUUUUUUUCCUCCAUA
RNAcentral lists this long non-coding RNA (1716 nucleotides) under Rattus norvegicus (Norway rat). RNAcentral describes it as "long non-coding RNA NONRATT029229". Lineage: Eukaryota; Metazoa; Chordata; Mammalia; Rodentia; Muridae. The record is from RNAcentral.